RNAcentral lists this long non-coding RNA (21073 nucleotides) under Triticum aestivum (bread wheat). Its description in RNAcentral is "long non-coding RNA (TAES_LNC019824)". The stretch from base 4555 to 4668 matches the Rfam family "MIR1120/MIR1122 microRNA precursor family". Lineage: Eukaryota; Viridiplantae; Streptophyta; Magnoliopsida; Poales; Poaceae. The record is from RNAcentral.
AAAUAAAGAGGUGACAAUAACACAGAUAAUAUAGUCUCAAUAUCUUAUAUUACCCACAUCAGGCGCUAACGAGUGGCCAGAAUAAUUAGUGCUACAUGACAGCAAAUAGAUUAAAUAGCUAGGUGGAUUCCUACAACUAAGCAGUACCAUUACCCUUACAAAGUCUUGGCCAACAAACAUUGUUCAAAGCAACAAAGGCAUGAGCCUGAACACCAACAUAUAGGAAUACCACUGUAGACAUAGGAGUUGGGACUUCUCCACGCAAUGCCAGGGAAAUUAGGAGAGUAGGUCCAUGUCAACCACUAAUUUUCGCAAAAGGUGUGGUCCCAUGCUAGGCACGUAAUGUAGCACUGAAUCUCAGUGACCAGCUGAGGGCAAUUCUGCAAAACAGGGAAUAUAAGGCAGACCAUUCAUGCCUUCAGUGCAGAUAACAUGCACUUUUUGAUUAUCCAUGUCAUACGACAAUGUCAAGUUUUUCUUGUCAGUAAGAAAAAUCAUGUUGCAAUCCGGAUGAAUUGCAAACAUCACAUAAGAAUCUCCAUCUUUACGGCAAUUCCUUCCAAACAGCUCCAAAACGUUAACAGUGUGCUUUAGGGUCCACUUUCCAGUAUCAUAAUCCUCAAGGACCCAAAUAUAGAGUUGGCAAUCACGGGAAUUUUCUAUCCACCAGGCAUACAAGCGUCCUUGAGACUGCCCAACAUCACAGAUGCGUCGUUGAGUGCCCAACAUCACAGGUGUUUGGCAUUUGAAUCUCCCUCCAAACUUUCCCCUCCACGUCGACUGUGGCUAUUCUCUUAUCAAGGGUAGGCAGAUGGAUAGUGCCACUCAGGAAGACCUGUGUGUAUACACCAUGAUUCACGAGAGGAUCUUUUGUCCACUUUGCACAUGAGUCCACCGUCCAGUUUCUGUCGAGUAGAUUGACACUUUUCCGGAAUCGUUCAUACCAGCCAUCUGGUUCUUGGGGGCAAACACCACAAAGCGGGAUGGAAUAGCAGGGUCGAAACCUAGGAAAGGGAUGGGAUCGGGACCUGGAAAUCCGACAGGAGGCAGCACAGUCCACUCUUCGGUAGCAGGAUUGCAGACAGCAUAAUAGGAUUCGUCUCGCAGAUUAUUCGAGCAGCUGCAGAGGAGAAGGCCGCCGCAGACGUGUUGGACAGAAAUGUGGCGGUACUUUUGGCGCAAGAAAGGGAGAGAGGGGUCGACAAGAGGAGGACCUCUCCCAUUCAAAUUGCGGAAAUGAAGGACACGGGCGUUCUUGUAGAAGAAGCCGGAGAGGGUCUGUGGCGACCUCUUGCGGAUGUCCGGGGCGGAGCAGAGGGCGAGCCAUGGCUUGGACACGCACUUGAAGCGGCAGAGGGACCUGUAGGGCACUCGUGAAAGGAUCUCAACGAUGGCGCCCUCGGGGAGGCUCGGCGCGGUCUGCUGCUCUUGCUCCAGCUUCUGCACCUGCUUCUUCUUCACAUCCUGUAAAUGAUGGAGACGACGGCUCGUUUAGGCUCCCGAUCCCCUUUCUUGGAUCGAUGACGAUUGACGGGGCCAGUCGACGAUCUUGUUCUGAAAGUGAAAGAACAUUGCAGAAGCGUGGAGCAAACCUCGGAAGCCGCCGGGACAAUGGCGGGCAGCGGCAGCCUAGAAUGGGGCAGAGCGUCGUCGUCGCCGCGUACGGUCGCCGGCGGGUGGCUCUGCACCGUGCAGCCAUGCUCGCCCCCUCCUUCUCCUCCUGGCGGCAUGGCCUCCUCUCCGGCUCGCGGAUCUGUGCCUCGAGCAGUCUACUCGACCGUGGCGGCGCCGGCUGCUGCUGCUCUCCGGCGCUAGGGUUCGUGAAAUCGUGAUGGGGCGGCAGCUGGUUUGGGAGCUCGCGUGACUGCGGCUGCGAGUACUAGAUGGGGAGUGGAGUGGCCCCCGCUGAUAAUGGGCUUUCCGAAUUUUUUUAUUAGCUGCUGUUCUAAAGGCGGCCCAAUUGAUCCUGAUGAUUUGUUGGCCCUCUCCACUGAAUAGUCGAACAAUUUUCUUGGUUGGUUUGUUAAUUUACGAGCCGAUGAUAAAAAAAAGAGCUUUGCAUCAGCAGAAUGUGCAUAGCGGUUUUGUAUGUGCUGGUACGAGAUAUUUUUUGAAUUACUACUUGUUGGCACCUGUUAGUCUUGAAAGUAAUUUUACAAUAUAUUACUACUAUCUUCGCCCGGAGUUACUGGAGGCUGAAAUUCUAAAUAUAUCCAUUUCAGCGUCAAGUAAUUCUGAAGGCUAACAAUGAUUCAUGCUCGAAUAAUCGGCAGCACUUAUUUCCCUGUAAAAAGUUAGGAAUCUCAAAUCCAUACUAUUACAUGCAACGUAACCCUAAUCUUACUUAAGCGAAGCUCAUCCGGCUCUGUCGUGCCCAUGUACGGCGGCUAGCUACGCUCCUCAUAGUGUUGGCUCGGUCACCGGCGAGGUAGAGUAGGACAUGAAACACGGCCCGGUUCACGGGACUCAAAGCACCACCGUCUCCCAUGCCCUACUCUUCCUUGUCGGAGCCCAGAACCCUGACGGUGCCGGUGCACGUGAAGAUGAUGGAUCCGUUCUGGGAGGAACCGGCAACAUCCACCACAACGUGGUUGCGGCGCCCGGGCUAGUGCACCAUACGGGGGACCGAAGAAUGUGACUCCGCCUCUCCAACGCCCACCACCGCGUGGCCUGCUGUCGUCUACCUUGCCCGCUGCCUCGCACUGCGGGAACGUCGCGUCAUGUUCUCGUCAGACGAUGACCAUCCGUUCACCUCCUUCUCGAUGCACCAAUAGAUGGGUUGCGCAUCCGCCACAACAUUCGGACGCCAGACGGACCACACCGCCUCCGGCGAGGCAGCGACGACACACCUUGCGGCGAAUCCAUGCGCCAUUUGGAUGGACGCAAUGGAUUCCCGACUCAAGGAGUCCAAGCGUUGCCAUCGGACGACCACCUCCCGAGAGCGGCGGAGCGCAAACCGGAUGAUCAUCUCGUCCUUGGGGCUGCGUGGAAUGAGCUCGGGGUCGACAAAUCUGGAGUUGUAGCACUCGAGUCCGCUGCCCGCCAUGCCGGAGAAGGCGGGAGAUCGCCGGAUGGGAGCUUGAGUGACGGAGGAGAGUGGAGGAGAGUGGAGUGAUGUGGCUAGGGUUUGGUCUGGGAGUGGAUGGGGACAAAUAUAUGCGGGGUUGGGUGGACCAGCGGGGUCCGAGUCCGACGUGGCGGACGCGCCCGGUCAGGCCCAGGCCUCCCCAUAUCCGCCGCAUAUUUGGGCUGGAUAUGAGAGGGGUCGGUCAGCCCAGGCGUUUGAGGGGGGUUUGAGGCGUCCGGCUGGGUCGGUUUUUUUGACCGAUCAGUGACCAGGCUGUUCACCCUAAAACCCUAAACCCUAAACCCUAUCUUGGAAAUCUUUUGUGAUUGUGAGCCCCCAUUAAAAUAUUAUAUGCUAAAAUUGUUGACGUUGGACAAGGAAGACAACAUAAUGAUUUAUGUUUGUGCAUAUUCACAUAGAAGUUAUAUUAUCAUAGAUCCUUCGACAUGUUGUGCUUGCCCCCAUCUUUGCUAGCCAAAAAUUCCGCACCAAGUAGAGUUUGAGGUGUUUGGCUGUAGACGCUCUUAGCCUUUUUUGUUUCUAGGAUGAAAGAAAUAUAGAAAUGGAUAAGUCAAAGAAAAUGAGAUGACAUCUUAUGAAUAGAAAUAGGAAAAGAGAGGUUCUUUGGGUUUUCUUUUUGUGAGGGGAGGUUCUUUGGUUCACUUGCAGAUAUAAGCCUCGAAAGCCCACUAUUAAUAAAUGUUCUCCGCUGUCUUUUUCCCACUUGGAAAUCAGAUCGAAUUCAAUUGACGCAGCUGAUGCAGCCCGAAACCCUCAAAAAAUAAAAGCUGAUGCAGCCCGAAACCAUCUAUCAGCUGCGACAUAAAAAAACUCGAUCAAGUUCAGAGUGCGUUCUAAGUCUGCUUGAGUUCACACUUCAUCCACUCCCUUUACAAGCUUUACUGUUCGUUUAGUCGCCGCAGAAAACAUAUCACACAUCUUGCAGACGUACAUGGCGUCGUGCUGCGCAGUAGUUAUCUGAAUUUCUCUGGAUAUUUGGAGUGCAUCCUCGCCAGCGAAAUAUGAUGACCAAUUUGUGUACCGAGGCUUUUCAGAAUUCAGAGACAGCCGGUGAGUACAGUGUCACGUCGAACGCAACAUCUCAUGGAGUUUCAAAUUCCACAACAAGCUCACAUGGCGCAUCAUUACACGGCAGACGGCAGCGCUGGCACCGUCGUGUUAAACUAUCGCGUUCAGGAUCAAUAUGAAGCAUUGCGGCGACAAAGAUUUUGCCCAAAAUAAGAUUUGAACUUGUGUGUGAGACCAACCUGCAGAUCUCAGCAUGACCCGCUGAGAAAUAAGGCUAUCCAACAACUGUUGGAUGUAUCACAUAAACACUAGGCCUAAGAUUUGAAGUGAAGGAAUCCCAUCUCUAAUGCCAGAAUAGUUACGCCUGGCAAGUUGUACUUUCAGUAUUUCCUACAUUCAGCAAAAACUAAACCUUCAACCAACAAAGCAGUGACAGGAAAACCACCAUUAUCCUUUUGGUUAUACUCCCUCCGUUCGGAAUUACUUGUCUCAGAAAUGGAUGUAUUCAGAACUAAAAUACGUCUAGAACAUCCAUUUUUAUGACAAGUAAUUCCGAACGGAGGGAGUAUAUAAUAAAAGUUGUCGUCCUCAAUUUCUAGUAAAGAGCAGGACCGAAAAUAAAGUUGGGCAACCUAGAACAGAAAUUUAACAGCCUAGAUAGGAUUCAUGCAAGGGAAUGGCGAGCUAUAUCGAAAUCAGAAUUAAGAACACACUGGAGCCUGGAGGAGCACAAGUACUUUAGUGAUGAAUGGUGAACUUGAAUGUAUAUUAUCACCCCCAGUCUUACUACAAACAUAUAUCAAUGAAUGAAUCACGCUGUUCGCUUCCCCUCAAAAGUUCAUCUGUCCCCUGAGCAAAAAAGAAGAUGAAUGGACUAUGUCUUCCAGGUUUGUUUAGCUGCACAUUUCUUGACACCAUCAAUGGAAGGCCAUGCGGGUAAUAUGAAAGAAACUAAUAUUUCUUUAUCCUACCUCUUCCUGUAUAUGUUGUGAUAUAAAAGAGACGAUCCACAAAUAAUCAUACCAAAUCUUACAAAUGCAUAAAAACAGAGGUGGCAUCGAUGGAUAACAAGCUGCUAUACAUUGAGAGGAGAUGAUCCGAAAAGGCCAAAGCGGCAGAGAUGGAGUGCGACGUCUCCGGUGUGAUUUCGUCUCUGACCUCUGGCACGCGAGUUUGCUGGAAUUCCGCCCCGGCAAGCUUAUCCGGCGAGGAGAGAGGAUCGUUCUCCUCGACGGGGAGGGCUACAAGGUGGACUCGCGUCGGACGCGGGAGUGUUGACGUAUAAAUGUAUUGACUAGUUUCUUUCAGUAGAUCGAUAUUUUGGUUGCAUUGGCUAGAGCAUGCACUUCUACAUGGCAUCGAAGCCAAGAGGUUUUAAGUCUUGACGGCCGACACAAUUAAAUUACAGGCCACUUUCGAUCCACGUUUAGUCCUGAGGGAGCCACACGUGAGGGGAGUGUUGACGUAUAAAUGUAUUAUCUAGUCUUUUCAUUAGAUCGGUCUUUUGGUUGCAUUUUGCUAGAAGAUGCACUUCCACAAGGACAAGGAGAGCGGCGCGUUUGGGGCGGGCGCGUUGAUCCAGUUUCCGUGCCAUUUGGCAUGAUUUGGUACACCGAGCGGCGGUGUACGGGCGGCACACGACGAGCGCGGGGCGCAGGCCGAGGUGAGUAAUGGCGGGCGACACGAGUCGACUCCCCUUAUCCGUCCAAGUGUGACGCCCCUGCCUCCUGUGCUCCCCACUACACAUCGGGUGAAACUAGAUCUGAGCGAGAGAGACAACAGAGCGACGAAGCCACCUUCCACGAUGAGGGCGAUGUCAAGGUGGGAGGCGAAGAUGGUGGGCGGCGAUGAGGAUAUGCUGGCGAGGUUGCGCGAGAUCGACUCUUGGCCGCCGUUGGCCCAGGCGCUGAACGACGAGACAGAGGCCAUCCGAGCCAUCCAGACCGUCGAGGAGAUGGAGCGCUGCUUCCCCAAGUCAAGGUCGCAGCCAGCGAUGAAGGUCGUCCUCUAGGCCAUGCUCGAGGCAGAAUCGGAGGACCCGAUGGCGCAAUUCAAGUGGGCGGCGUUUUGUUCCCACAUCUUCAACCUACUGCCACCGCCAGAGGUGAAGGUUGUGAUGGGGUUGCCGACACCUGGGACGUAGGCGAUUCCGAUAGAGAUCAUCAACGACGACCUUCCGAGGGCGCACAAGGUGAAGACGCUUCCCAUGCCAUUCGGCCCACCUCCGGGCCCUCUCUUACACUCAGUAGGGUGCUCUCCGGCUGGUAGCCACUUUUGACUGCUGGCCGGAGAGGACUUCGACGGGUCGGAGAGGGAUGACUCAUCGGCUAACUCAGGUACAAACCCGAUUCCUUACUAAUACUUAAGUGAUUCGGUGCUGUCUGAUUCUAGUAAGAGAGAUUCUACUAUUAUAAGGGGAAAAUUAAGAGAGAAAAUGAAGAGAUGUAGACAAAUUAACACAUGGUCGCAUGAUUUUGAGGCUAGAUGUGACGGGGAAAAUCCAAACUUCUUGAGUUAUCUGAUUAAUAAACAGAAGCUGAGAUUGUUGAUUGGUAAGGAGGAUAUCAAAAGGGGGGUAGAUAUUAAAAUUCAUAUGCAGNNNNNNNNNNNNNNNNNNNNNNNNNNNNNNNNNNNNNNNNNNNNNNNNNNNNNNNNNNNNNNNNNNNNNNNNNNNNNNNNNNNNNNNNNNNNNNNNNNNNNNNNNNNNNNNNNNNNNNNNNNNNNNNNNNNNNNNNNNNNNNNNNNNNNNNNNNNNNNNNNNNNNNNNNNNNNNNNNNNNNNNNNNNNNNNNNNNNNNNNNNNNNNNNNNNNNNNNNNNNNNNNNNNNNNNNNNNNNNNNNNNNNNNNNNNNNNNNNNNNNNNNNNNNNNNNNNNNNNNNNNNNNNNNNNNNNNNNNNNNNNNNNNNNNNNNNNNNNNNNNNNNNNNNNNNNNNNNNNNNNNNNNNNNNNNNNNNNNNNNNNNNNNNNNNAGAGGCUGACGAAAAUGGAUUUGGGGGAUCAGUGGGUAGGUUUUUAGAUCAUAUUGAGGAGGAAGUGGAACUGGGAUUUAGAUGCUAUGGGCCUCCAACUUUGGAAGCUGGCCUAGUAGCGACCCAGAAUUUAUCCACUCCUGCUAUAUAUAUGCUAGAGAGUGCGAGCUUUCAGAAACAGACAACUUCUCUAGGUUUACCCUGACAACCGCCGCCUGACUCUGCCAGGUCGGGGAACUAUGGCAACUUUCGAGGUGGAGGAAGAUUCAGUAGGGGUGGUGGAAGAGGAAAUUUCCAGUACCAACCUAAGAAUUUUGUUAACAAAGAUGAUGAGGGUUUCAUAAGAAAUCCAAUCCCCCACCCACAGAAUAAUAAUUCAGAUAGGGGUAGAGGACAAAUCGACGCAACUGUGGGUGAUGAUGGAAAUCUGAUGCCAAGGUCUCAAAAGGUGGAAAUCAGUCCUGGAGAGGUAUGGUGGGUGAAAUUGAGAUAGUUGGUUCUUCUGGUGAUAACAAGCAAGAAACUGAGAAGAAGGGGGAUUAGAUCUGGGUCCAGUAGUAGCAUGGUUCUUAAUUUGGACGCAUCCCAAUAGCAGCAACUCUUGGGCGCGCUGCUUUAACAAAUACCCAAGACCAUGGCUAUUGGAGAACUGGAUAUAAGUGACAGAAAUGGUGUAGGCAACAAGGGGAAGGAUCAUGUAGGUGUUGGAAAUGGUGGUGGGGAAAAUCAAAGCAACAAAGGAUCAUCAUCUGGCAGUGGAAACGUGGGAGAAUCUAGAGACUUCAGACAUGAUCACGGGCUUGGUAACUCUCUAUAAGGGAAUGAGAUGGAUAAGAAGCAAGGGGGCAGAUUUCGAAAGCAGGUUUGUGGGAAAUGUAAAGAUCCCAGGCACUCUACCAAGGAAUGCAAAGUGGGGCAUUGUUUGAUUUGUGGCAAGGAUAAUCACAUCACAGAGGAGUGUAACUGGUUGCAACAGAUGAAGCCCUUGCCAAAAUACAUUGGAUAUGCUGCCAAGGGUUUACGAGUGUUGUUGGUCCAAAGUGCUAACGAUAUUUUGGUUGCUGGUCAUAUUCAUCCACUGGCUAUUGUAUCUUUGGAAUCAAUGUACUUGAAUGAGACUGAUUUUGUACAAGAAUUUGGGGAGAUGUUUAACUGGAGCUGGCAAUUGAGAGCUAAAAGCUACGACCAAAUAUGUUAUCUAAUGAGGUUUCCAAACAAAGCAAGGCUGGUGGAGUUGGUUAAAUUCAAAACUUUCAACCUGUUAGGAACUGGGGUAAUGAGCAUAGUUCAAGGGUGGACACUGGAUCAUUAGGCCAUUGGCAAAUUGCACACUGCUUGGGUAAAAUUUGAUAGUGUGGCUGAUUGUUUUAGGCACUUUUUUGGGAUGUGUGAAGUAGCAGGGGCUGUUGGGCCAGUGUUGAAAAUUGAUAUGGAUACCAUCACACAGGAAAAAAUUAAAGCAAAAAAUUGGAGCAAGAGAUGUGGAGAAAAUCCCACCUUCCUUUGAAAUCACUUCAAAUGACCUGUUGAUUUUCAGACUGACUUCUGAAUUGGACAAUGUGGUGGAAAUGGGUUGGUAUAAAGAGUUUAAAAGAAGUGAAUCUCCUGAAGAUGAUUUGAUGGACAUGUAUGAAAAAGAAGAUACUAGAAAAAAAGAAAGGUAGGGGAAAACACUAGAGUGCAUUUGACAUUGGGGAGCUUGUCUCUGGCCCAGCUUGAAGAGGUUAACAAGAAAAUGAUGCAAUGAAAACCUCCAUUGAAAAUUCUUUUGGCCCCAUUCUUCAUAACCUAGCAGAACAAUACAAAUCGGCUCAAAAAGGAUAUAGAUGUAGUACUGAGAAGAGUUCAAUCUUUGGAAGAGGAAAAGACAAGGCGAGCUGCUUUGUGAACAAUUGAGGAGAAGAAAAUGAUUGAUUUAGAAAAAUAUAAGAAGAUGCUGGAAGCUGACUUUGCUCAACAACAAGAAAUGACACAACAACUGAUACGAGAGGCUGUGAAAAUAGAGCAAAUGGAAUUGGAGCAUGCUAAUAUGGAUGAUGAGGAAAUUGAGGGGUAUGGGCAAGAUAAGAAAAAAGCAACUGAAUUUGAUAAAUAUGGGGAGAACACUGAUUAUAAUGCUUGCCAAGAAUCUGUGGAAAACUUUGGACAGAAGAUGGCCGACAAACAUGGACCUGAAACUAGAGAUUUGGAGAUUGGCAAAGAAGAGGAAUUGAGAACAAGCUUCAGUAUGAAGGUGGAGGACUCGGCCAAGAACAGAGCUGAAGCAAGGGAUAAUUAUGGUAAUGAACCUGACUCCCCUCCUUCUAUAUCUUCUUUAAUGCAUAUGACAUCUUUCGUACGAAAUGGUUUAGGAUGCACUAUUGAUAUGGUAGACAAAAACAUUGGGAUUAUCCAAAAAUGGAGGCUGCUAGAAAAGAGUUUUAUUGGCAAAAUAUUACUAACCAGAGAGAAAAAGGAAAAGGUGAGGCCAGCACUCCAAUUCAGAUUGAUAUUGGAGAUGCUAAUAUGGCUGAACUAUGUUCUGAUAAAGAACAUUCAGACGCCGAGGUAGAAGAGAAUUAUCAUGAUCAAUUGGAAAAAAAAUUGCUAGGGAAGUUUUUUCAAGAGGGAUCACCAGCAAUUAGCUGUGUGAAACACUCUGUUGCUAUCAACUUCCUUGAAAAAAGGAGGAAGAAGACAUAAAAUUAGAGAGGUUAAAUAUAAUUUGCCUCUUAUUUUUUGUGAAACUGUGUGUCUGUGGAUAUAUAGAUUUGGAUAAUAAUAAACCAUUUAUAUUGGAAAAAAUGGAAGGUUUUUUUUUGGAAUGUUAGAGGAUUGGGGCAGGAUCAUAAAAAAGGAUAUGUUAAGGAUAUGAUUGCAGAACAUAAACUUGACUUUGUGGGGUUGAUGGAAACUAUAAAGACUAGGUAUUCCAAAACUGAACUCACUUUUUGUGUGUGUGUGGGGGGGGGUGACGCCCCCGAUUUGACCGUACACUAAUCAUGCACGCAAAUGUGUACAAUCAAGAUCAGGGACUCACGGGAAGAUAUCACAACACAACUCUAAAACAUAAAUAAGUCAUACAAGCAUCAUAAUACAAGCCAGGGGCCUCAAGGGCUCGAAUACAAUUGCUCGAUCAUAGACGAGUCAGCGGAAGCAACAAUAUCUAAGUACAGACAUAAGUUAAACAAGUUUGCCUUAAGAAGGCUAGCACAAAAGUAGCAACGAUCGAAAAGGCAAGGCCUCCUGCCUGGGACCUCCUAACUACUCCUCGAAGCCGAACUCCAUGUAGAAUCAUCCUCGGGAUCUCUAGCUCCUGGACUCCAGCAUCUGGUUGCGACAAUCAGGUAUAGAAAGGGGGAAAGAGGGAGAAAGCAACCGUGAGUACUCAUCCAAAGUACUCGCAAGCAAGGAGCUACACUACAUAUGCAUGGGUAUAUGUGUAAAAGGUCAUAUCGGUGGACUGAACUGCAGAAUGCCAGAAUAAGAGGGGGAGAGCUAAUCCUGUCGAAGACUAUGCUUUUGGCAGCCUCCAUCUUGCAGCAUGUAGAAGAGAGUAGAUUGAAGUCCUCCAAGUAGCAUCGUAUAGCAUAAUCCUACCCGACGAUCCCCUCCUCGUCGCCCUGUUAGAGAGCGAUCACCGGGUUGUAUCUGGCACUUGGAAGGGUGUGUUUUAUUAAGUAUCCAGUUCUAGUUGUCAUAAGGUCAAGGUACAACUCCGGGUCGUCCUUUUAUCGAGGGACACGACUAUUUGAAUAGAUAAACUUCCCUGCAGGGGUGCACCACAUAACCCAACACGCUCGAUCACAUUUGGCCGGACACACUUUUCUGGGUCAUGCCCGGCCUCGGAAGAUCAACACGUCGCAGCCCCACCUAAGCACAACAGAGAGGUCAGCACGCCGGUCUAAAUCCUAUGCGCGCAGGGAUCUGGGCCCAUCGCCCAUUGCACACCUGCACGUUGCGUACGCGGCCGGAAGCAGACCUAGCCUAGUGGCGUUCCAGUCCAUGGAUGCCGUCCAGGGCCAGGCCCACCUCUCACCUAGGUCGGGAUACCACGACGCCGGGAUACCCAUAACUACUCCCGCGUACAUGGUUAGUGCGUAUAGACCAAAUGCCCAGACUCAGAUCAAAUACGAAGAACUCGUUAAGCGUGUUAUGUCGAAGUAACCGCGGAUGCCGUCCAGGGCCAGGCCCACCUCUCACCUAGGCGGUCUCAACCUGCCCUGUCGCUCCGCCACAGAGAUCCACUUGUGGGUACUCCUACGAGCCGACCCGACUUUAUUUACCACAUGUGUCAUGUAUAGAGUAUAUAAGUAUAUACCCGUGAUCACCGCCCAAGUGAUCACGACCCGAUAGUAUAGCACAGCAGACGGACAGGAAUGUGGGGCCACUGAUGGAUAACUAGCAUCCUAUACUAAGCAUGUAGGAUUGCAGGUAAAGGUAACAACAGUAGUAGCAAGGAUAGGCUAUGCAUCAGGAUAGGAUUAACAAAAAGCAGUAACAGGCUAUACUACUCUAAUGCAAGCAGUAUAGAGAAGAAUAGGCGAUAUCUGGUGAUCAAGGGGGGGGGGCUUGCCUGGUUGCUCUGGCAAGUAGGAGGGGUCGUCAACUCCGUAGUCGAACUGGUCAGCAGCAGCGNNNNNNNNNNNNNNNNNNNNNNNNNNNNNNNNNNNNNNNNNNNNNNNNNNNNNNNNNNNNNNNNNNNNNNNNNNNNNNNNNNNNNNNNNNNNNNNNNNNNNNNNNNNNNNNNNNNNNNNNNNNNNNNNNNNNNNNNNNNNNNNNNNNNNNNNNNNNNNNNNNNNNNNNNNNNNNNNNNNNNNNNNNNNNNNNNNNNNNNNNNNNNNNNNNNNNNNNNNNNNNNNNNNNNNNNNNNNNNNNNNNNNNNNNNNNNNNNNNNNNNNNNNNNNNNNNNNNNNNNNNNNNNNNNNNNNNNNNNNNNNNNAGCAGCAGCGUCGGUCUCGUAGUCUACUGGAGAGAAGAGGGGGGGGGGGGAGAAACGGUAAAUACAAUGCAAACAUAAGCAUGACGAUGCGUGACAUGAAAAUGAGCAGUGCUAGGUGUGCCCUAACGCGGCAGUAGGUGGUACUGGCGAAGGGGGGAAAUAUCCGGGAAAGUAUUCCCGAUGUUUCGCGUUUUCGGAUAGACAGACCGGAGGGGGAAAGUUCCAUGUUCGCUAUGCUAGGAACGUGUGGCUGACAAACGGACUGCGUAUUCGGAUUCGUCUCGUCGUUCUGAGCAACUUUCAUGUACAAAGUUUUUCCAUCCGAGCUACGGUUUAUUUUAUAUUAAAUUUUAAAGAUUUAAAUCAUUUUUAGAAUUUAAUAAAUUAAUUUAAUUCAAAAUUUAAUUAAUGCAUCAGCAUGACGUCAGCAUGACGUCAGCAACGUUGACCGUUGACCUGGUCAACCUGACAGGUGGGUCCCAUCUGUCAGGGGCUGUUAGCUAAUUAACUACUGUUUAAUUAAAUUAACUAAUUAAUUAGAUUAAUUUAAACAGGAUUAAUUAACUUAAUUAAUUUAGUUAAUUAAUUAAUUAGAUUAAUGCAAUUUAUUUUUAUUAUUUGUUUUAUUUAUAUAUUUUUUAAAUUCUUUUUUUUAACGUUCUCUGGGCGUGGGGCCCAUCUGUCAUAGGCCCCAGGGGCCUUAGCGGUUGUGGGCAACGGGCGCAAUACGCAACCCAAACGGGCGCACGCCCAGGUGUAGGCGGACAGGGGAGGCCGGUGGUCACGGCGGGGCCAUGGCCGGAGCGGGGCGAGGCCGCGGUGGUGCGCGGGCGGCCGCCGGAGGCCGUGCGGGCGGAAGCCGGAGCGGGGUAGGGGAGGCCAGGGUCGCUGGUACGAGGCCAGAGAGCGGCUCGGGGUGGCGGGAACUGCAGCGGGAGGCGGCAGAGCUGGACGACAGGUGUGGGGCCGCGAGCGACCAACGGCAAAGCCGCCGGUGAGGCGUUGCCUCGACGCGAGGCGCGCGGCCAGGUGCUCACGGGGGCGCAAGCGGGGUAGCGCGGGGGAGAAAGAGAGGAGGGAGUGGAGGCCGUGGCCUCACCGGGGGUGUAGGGUCAAGGCAGUGGGGCUCGGGAAGGAGGUCGAGGACGUCGCGGCGGAGGGGAAGAAGGCCGGCGAGGUGGAGGAAGCAGGCCGGUGAUGGAGCUCCGGCGACUGGCGGCGGCGUCGACGUGCAGGAGGUGGUGAGGCGUCGGCGUUAGUAGGCGUCGGGUCGACGAGGGAGGAGCUGCGAGGAGGCCGGGAGGGGCGGCGAUUGGCGCGGAGAUAGUCCGGCGAGGGGGGUCCGAGAGGCGACGGGGUUCGGCGUCGAUCGACGCAGGGGCGCCCGAUCUGGAUCGUGGCGAGAGAGGAGCGGGCGUGAGGGGAGAGUGGGGUGACUCGGGGGUUAGGGUUUGGGUUAUGAGGCCAUAUAGGCCAGGGGAGGUUAGGUGGGCCAGUUGGGCUGGCCAGCUGGGCCGGAGCCCAGUGAAGGGGGUUCCCUUUCCCUUUUUUUGUUUGUUUUGUUUUCUUUUACUUUUUCUUAUUUUUCUUUUCUGUUUUCUUUUAGUUCCUCUUUCAUUUUAGUUUUAUAAAUUAUAGUGUAAAAUCCUAAGUUAGCGAUACUAAUUAUGCUACUGCCCCAUUAUUUUUGGGCAACUAAAUGGAUAGCUUAAUAUUUUAUAAAAUACAAAAGACAUUUAUUUGAUUGUUUUAACUACUGUUUUAAUUAUCUUAGAGCCUUUAAACAUUUUAUAAAAGUGUCGGUUCUCCACCAUAAUUACCUAAUCAUUAUUUGGCUCCACCCGAACUUUUAGUUUUUAUAUUUAAAAACUUUUAUUGUUUGCCUUUAUUUUAAAUUUGAACUGGGUUUCGAACUGACGCGAGUUUAUCAACAGUAACCGAUGUGACGUGGAAUCAUUAGCGGAGGUUCACUGUAGCUUAAUUAUCCGGGCGUCAGGGGGGGGGGGGAUUUUGAAUGCACUUGAAAUCCACCUAGUGGGAAAUAUGGAGGUAUUCUGGCGGGUUGGAAUAAAGAUAUUUUUGACACUAUUCAUCUUGAACAUGGUGAAUAUUUUGUCAGGGUACAUGUUUUUGAUAGACAUGCAAGUUUGAAUGGAAUUUAAUCACUAUCAAUGGUGAUGCUCAAAUUGAAAGAAAAGCUAGUUUUUUAGCUGAGCUGGCUAGAGUCUAUCAUGAUAUUGCCUUGUUUGGUGGGGGUGAUUUUAAUAUCAUUAGAAAGAGUGAUGAGAAAAACAAACCUAAUAAUCCAGAUCAUUGGAGUUUUGUGUUUAAUGUUAUUAUAGAACAUGUUGGGCUUAGGGAGAUGUCUCUAAAUGGGAGACAAUACACUUGGGCUAAUAAUCUUCCUCAUCCAACUUAUGAGAAAUUGGAUAGGGUUCUAUGUUGUCCAGAUUAGGAGGAAAAAUAACCCUUAUCCAUACUCCAGGCAUUUUCUAGGGAGGCCUUUGAUCAUACUCCACUUUAUAUUUUGACACAAGAGCCCACUCAAAUAUUGAACCAAUUUUCAUAUCUAAAAUUCUUGAGUGCUUAGAGAGGGAUUUAAGGAUUUUGUGGUUAAAGUUUGGAAUGAGGAGUAUAAAGUAGAUAAUCUGGAUAGAUGGCAACAAAGAUUUAGAAACUUGAGGAAAAAAACUAAAGGUUGGAAUGAAAAUGUGGAUGCUUGGUAUAGAAAGAUGAAGAAGAAAUUAUUGAUAGACUUGAUGAUUUGGAAUAAAAUGUUGAAGAUAUGGGAUUAACAGCUGCAAAUAGAGAUGAACAAAAAGAGCUAAGUGCUCAAGUAUCUAGGCUUAUGUAGUAAGAAGAACUUAAAUGGCUUCAAAAAUAUAAAGAUAAAGAGAUUAAAGAUGGAUAUGGAAACACUAGAUACUACCAUACCAAAGUGAAUGGGAGAAGACGAAUAAAAUAAAAUAAUAUCUUUAGAACAAGAAGAGGGGGUGAUAGAGGGAGAGAUUGAAUUAAUGGAAUAUCUUACUAACUUAUAUAAGAAACUAUUUGGACAACUAGAUGAGUGGAACAUUAUGCUGGGAGACCUAGAUAAGCCAAAAAAUUCUGCUAUAGAAGCUGUGGAGUUGACUUCACCUUUCUCUAUGAAAGAGAUUCAUGAGGUGGUUUUUGGUAUGGAGAAAAACAAGAGCCUUGGUCCUAAUGGAUUUCCUGCUGAUUUAUAUCUGGAAUUUUGGGAUUUGAUAAAAUGGGAUCUCAAGGACAUGGUUGACGAUUUCGCUUCUGGCGAACUUGACAUCACUAGGCUUAAUUAUGGGAUCAGUACCCUAGUCCCAAAAACCUCAGAUGCUAAACAACUUCAGAAAUUUAGACCCAUAUGCCUCUUGAAUGUCAGUUCUAAGAUUGAGUAAAGUGGUCUCUCAUGUUAUUUCUCCUACUCAAACUGCUUUUGUCAAAGGGAGAUUCAUUAUGAAAGGGGUUGUGGUACUUCAUGGAGCUCUAAAUACAAUACAUUACAAAAAACAAAAUGCUCUGAUCAUCAAAGUGGACUUUUGUUAUCAAAAUGUUGAAAAUGAAAGGAUUUUCUGAUAAGUGGUGUGACUGGAUUAUGCUAACUAUGAGAUGGGGACAUGUAGGAGUUAGGGUUGAUGAUCAAAUAGGGCCUUAUUUCAAAACCUUUAAAGGCCUUAGACAUUGCUGUUUGACCUUGCUGAUUAUGCUUUAGCUCUGAUCGUGGAUAAAGCAAAGAAUGGAUUGUUAAGGGGGUGCUUGGUACUCAGCGUAACAUGGGGAUAAACAUGCUACAAUAUGCUGAUGACACUAUUUUCUUACUUCAGGAUGAUCUUGAUGAUGCAAAAAAAAAUUGAAGUUCAUUAUUUGUGCUUUUGAGCAAAUGUCUGGGCUUACUAUUAAUUUUCAUAAAAGUGAACGGUUCCUUUUUGGAGAGGAAAAUAAUAAAAGACAGAAAUAUCAGGAAAUUUUCACUUGUGGCAUGGGAUCUCUCCCUAUGAAGUAUCUAGGGAUGCCAGUGUCACACACUAGAAUUAGAAACAGACACUGGUCUGGAUAGUUGAACAAAUUGAGAAAAGAUGUGAGUGAUGGCAAGGUAGACUCCUAGGAUCUAUUGCUGGGAGAAUAACCUUGGUGCAGGCCUGCUUGUCCAAUAUACCUCUUUAUUAUGAUGUCGUUUUACCCCAUUCCUGCUGGGGUACUUAAGAAAGUAGACUCGUAUAGAGCUAGAUUGGUUUUGCAAGAAGACGAAGAUAAGAAGAAAUACCAUUUGGUAAACUGGAAGACCUGUUGCAAACCCAAAGACUUGGGAGGUUUGGGUAUUUUAAAUUUAAACAUUAUGAAUAAAGAUUUACUUGCCAAAUGGUUUUGGAAUUUGGAAAUGGAGGAAGGACUUUGGCAGCCAGUCCUCUGGGACAAAUAUGUAACUGAUGGAUGCUUAUCCAGGACACAACAUAAAAAUGGAGAUUCACAAUUUUGGACUAAUAUUAUUAAGUUCAAAGAGAUAUUUGACAGAUUUUGUAGGAAAAAUUUGGGGGAUGGCAAAAACACAAGGUUCUGGGAAAGACAUAUGGGUAGAUGAUAAACCUCUGAAAGAGGCAUAUCCAAGGUUAUAUAUGCUUAGUUUUGAACACAAUAUCAAUGUGUCUGAAGCCUUGGAGAAAGAGUGGAAAUGAUUUAAAUUUAGAAGAACACUAUAUGAGGAAACCAUGGAAUUGCGGAAAAGUCUGGGAAGAUGUGAGGAGGUUAAUAUGGGAAGAGGUAAAGAUCAGGUGGUGUGGAUGCUGACUCCGGAUAAACAAUUUAUUGUCAAGUCCUUAUAUAGACUAGAGAUAUUUUUAGAAGACCUUUUUAUGCUAAAAAAACAGAUGAUCCACACAUAAUCAUAUCAAAUCUUCAAAAUGCAUUAAAACGGAGCAUCGAUCGAUAACAAACUAUAGACCGGAGAUAUUUACUUGCAUAAAACAAAUGGAAAUGAAGAGGUGAAAAUAACGCAGAUAAUGUACUCUCAAUGACUUAUAUUAGCCACAUCAGGCCCAAACGACUGGCCACAAUAACUAGUGCUACAUGACAGCAAAUGGAUGAAAUGGCUAGGUGGAUUGUUACAACUAACUAGUACACUCACCCUUACAAAGUUUGGCUAACAACAUUGUUCAAAGCAACAACGGCAUGCACCGAACUCAAGACUGUAGACAUAGGAGUUGGGACUUCUCCACGCAAUGCCAGGAAAUUAGGAGAGUAGGCCCAUGUCAACCGCUAAUUUCCGCAAAAGGUGUUGUUCCAUGCUGAGCACGUGAUGUAGCACUGGAUCUCAGUGACCAGCUGAGGGCAAUUCCACAAAACAGGGAGUAUAAGGCAAACCAUUCAUGCCUUCGGUGCAGAUAACAUGCACUUUUUGAUUAUCCAUGUCAUACGACAAUGUCAUGUUCUUCUUGUCGGUAAGAAAAAUCAUGUUGCAAUCCGGAUGAAUUGCAAACAUCGCAUAAGAAUCUCCAUGUUUACGGCAAUUCCUUCCAAACAACUCUAAAACCUUAAAGGUGUGCUUUAGGGUCCACUUUCCAGUAUCAUAAUCCUCAAGGACCCAAAUACAGAGUUGGCAAUCAUAAAAAUUAUCUGUCUUCCACGCAUACAAGCGUCCUUGAGACUGCCCAACAUCACAGAUGUUUGGCAAGUCAUUUGGCAUUUGAAUCUCCCUCCAAACUUCCCCCUCCACGUCGAUUGUGGCCAUUAUGUUAUCAAUGGAAGGCAGAUGGAUAGUGCCAUUAAGGAAGACAUGUGUGUCUCUACCAUGAUCCACGAGAGGCUCUCUUGUCCACUUACUUUGCACAUGAGUCCACCGUCCAGUUUCUGACGAGUAGAUUGCCACUUGUCCGGAACGGUCCACACCAAACAUAUUGGGCUGGGGCGCAAACACCACAAAGCGGGAUGGAACAGCAGGGUCAAAACCUAAGAAAGCGAUUGGAUCAGGACCUGGAAAUCCGACAGGAGGCAGCACAGUCCACUCCUCGGUCGCAGGAUUGCAGACAACAUAAUAGGCUUCGCCUAGCAGAUUAUUCGAGCAGCAGCAGAGGAGAAGGCCGCCGCAGGCGUGUUUGACAAAAAUGUGGCAGUACCUUUCGCGCAAGAAAGAGAGAGAUGGGUCGACAAGAGGCGGACCUCUCCCAUUCAAAUUUCGGAAAUUGAGGCCAUCGUCGUGAUAGUAAAAGAAGCCCGAAAGAGUCUGUGGCGACCUCUUGCGGAUGUCCGGGGCGGAGCAGAGGGCGAGCCACGGCUUGGACACGCACUUGAAGCGGCAGAGCGACCUGUAGGGCACUCGCGAAAGGAUCUCGACGAGGGCGCCCUCGGGGAGGCUUGGCGCAGGCUGCUGCUCCUGCUCCCGCUCCAGCUUCUGCUUCUUCUCCUGUGUAAAUGAUAAUGGCUGGCUCAGGUUCCGGAUUCCUUUUGUUGGAUCCAAGAUUGGAAGGCCCUGUUAAACAAAAGGAAGACUGGAGCAGCGUGAGCGGACCUUGGAAGCUACUGGGGCAAUGUCGGGGAGCAGCGGCGUAGAAUGAGACGGAGCGUCGUCGUCGCGGCGGACGGUCGCCGUCGGCUGACCCUGCAGCGUACAGCCAUGCUCGCCUCCUCCACCUCCUCCUCCUCCUGGCGGCAUCGCCUCCUCUUCGGCUCGCGGAUCAGUGCCUUGAGGCUGUCGAAUCGACCGUGGCGGCGCUGGCUGCCGCUGCUCGCCGGGGCUAGGGUUCGUGAAUCGUGAGGGGGGAUGGGGCGGCAGCUGGUUUGGGAGCUCGCGUGACUGCGAGUGGGAGUGGUUGAUUUGUUACUCUGCUGACAAUAGACGGCCCAAUGGACCCAGAUAAUUUGUUGGCCCACUCCGCUGAAUAAUAAUCGAAUAAUUUCCUUGGUGCCUCUAAAAAAAGAAGAAUAAUUUCCUUGGUUGAUUUGUUAAUUUAGGAGCCGGUGACAGAAAGAGCUUUGCAUUAGCGGAAUGUACAUAACGCUUUUGUAUGUGCUGCUACUAGAUACAUUCCCAAUUACUUGUUGACACCUGUUAGUAUUGAAAGCAACUUAACAAUGUAGUAGUGGUUGCUAUGGCAGAUUAUAUAUUGUACUUAUAUCAUGAUUUGCAUUGGAAGGGUAGAAAAAACAUAAGAUUAUAUAUUGUACUUAUAUCAUGUUGUACUGCUCAGACAUACAACCUACACGACUAGAAGUAAGCAGUUUUCUCUCCGAGUAAUAGCAGAGUGAUGCCUCAUUUAGAGACAACCACAUGUUUGUUAGUAAUUAGUUACGCUCUGAUCGUUACAUUCUUCUCUGGCUGCUUUCAUCAAGGACAGGUUCGGCCAGCUUGACAUACUGGUACCGGGUGGCUCAAAUUUUCAAAUGAAAUUUUGAAUAUGCAAUUAACUUAUCGUACAUAAGCCAAUUCCAAUGAAAAUCAUGAUUUGAUGUGUGAGAUCAACCUGAAGUGAAGUGAUGUGUAAACAAGGAGCGCUAUCCAACGACUGCAGGAUGUAUCACACACUGCACACUGGACUAAAAUUUCUUUUCUUUUUUUUGUGGGGACACUGGACUAAAAUUUCAACGCCACACCAAGUGAAGAUUGCUUGUGGAAAGCUAGUAAGCUAAAGGUAGUAACUGAAUCCCAUCCUAAUGCCAGAACAGGCGCCUGUCACGCUGUAAUUUCACGGAUUCAGCGAGAACUAAACCUUCAACCAACAAAGCCAUGAUAGGAAAACCAACCUUAUCUUCAGAUUCACGCAACAAAUAUUUCUACUUACGACAGAGUUUACAGGAUCCGAUUUUGUGCGGUCCUCGUUUCCAACAGUCAAUGCGCCAUGUUCCGGUGUACACUUGCAGCACUUGGCAUGGGAAAUAGCAUGAGCACAGGUGCCUGGAAUGCUGUCAUGCCAUCCUAUAGCAGCUACACAAAAGUUAGGGCAGAGGCCUGACAAAUAUUUCUACUUACAAAGACUCUGGAGAAUAUGGUUCGUGGUCCUCAUUUCGGACAGUCAGUGCACCAUGUUUAGUGUACAACACUUGAAAGGAGAAAUAAAUAUCUGCUAUAUGUAACAUAUCCAUUGUGGUGAUUAUUAUAAAAAACAUUGUCUUGCUCAGCUUCCCAUAAAGAGCAGGCCUCUAAACCAAUGUUAAGCAACCAAAAACUUCAACGCUCUAGUCAGGUUUCAGGAGGAGAAUGAUGAACUAUAUUAGAAAGCAAGAAUUCAAAGCACACUGGGAAGCAUAAGUAAAAGAAAAUGGAUGGUGAACUUGUACCCAUGUUACCCCAGUCUUGCAACAAAGAUGGUAGUCUCAGACUAUCAGCGAGUGCUUCCCCACAAAAGGUCAUAUUCCCCUGAGCAAAAAAAUAAAAUGAAAGAACCGUCUUCCAGGCCAGUUUAGCUGCACAAUUUUUUGGACACCACCAAUGGAACAUGGAAGUCCAUGUGGGUUACAUAAAACAAACUAAUAUUUCUUUACCCUACAAGUAUAUGGUGCAAUAUAGAAGAGACAAUCCACAGAUAAUCUUCUCAAAUCUUACAACAUGCAUAGAAACAGAGCCAGCACCGAUGGAUAACAAGCUAUAGAUUGCAGAUAUUCACUUGCAUAAACAAGUGAAAAUAAGGAGGUGAAAAUGCGAACAAUGUCAAACAUAGAUAAUGUACUCUCACUGAGUGUCUUAUAUUAUCAUCCCACAUCAACAGUUAACGAGCGGCCACAAUAAUUUAGUACUACAUGACAGCAAAUAGAUUAAAGGACUAGGUUCAUUCAUACAACUACUUAUUACUCUUACAAAAUCUUGGCUAACAAAGAUUGUUCAAAGCAACAAAGGCAUGAACCUGAACACCAACAGAUAGGAUAGGAACACCACACUGUAGAUAUAGGAGUUCGGACAUCUCUACGCAAUGCCACGAAAUUAGGAGAGUAGAUCCAUAGCAACCACUAAUUUUCGCAAAAGGUGUUGUCUCAUAUGCUGAACAUGUGAUGCUGCAGUGAAUCUCAAUGAUCAGCUGAGGGCAAUUCCGCAAAACAGGGAGUAUAAGGCAGACCCUUCAUUCCUUCAGUGCAGAUAACAGUCAC